Molecule: long non-coding RNA, 889 nt
Filed under: Brassica rapa (field mustard)
Lineage: Eukaryota; Viridiplantae; Streptophyta; Magnoliopsida; Brassicales; Brassicaceae
Description: long non-coding RNA (BRAP_LNC005848)
Source: RNAcentral
UCGGAUCCAAUAUGUUCAGAUAGAAUAAUUGAACAGGGUUAUAGUUAUCAAAUUUAUAUUAAAAUUUUAAUUAUCUAUAAAUAUUAUGAAUUUUAAUUAACUUGAAACUAUAUAAGAUCAAAGUCCAACUAAUUUGGUAGAGGGUUAUUAUCGAUGAACUAAUCUGAGUCUGUGUUUUUUUGAGUGAGGCAUUUCAUCUUCGUCUGGCUACGUAGUACCAGUUUAGUUUUUUUUUUUUUGCAGAAUAAAAAUCUAAAACCUACAUAUUUAUGUUUUUUUUUAAUAUUAACAUAUUUAUGUUUUGCCCCAUAUUCUUCUUCUUAUCAUUAUACUAUAACUAUUUAGUUAUAAAUAUAGGGAUUUAUUGAUUUUAUAAGACUUACCAAUGCAUAUUCUACUAAAUAAAUGUACGUUUAGUAAUGAAAUCAAAUAUAAUCAGCUUGCCAAUAGUCUGAAACGACUCAGCUUAUAGUAUUCGUAUUCUACUCGUUCAAAAAUAUUUAUAUUUUCCAGUCGAAAAAGAGCCUAUGAUGACCAUAAGUUUAAGCUUACGAAGUGUGUAAAAUUUUAUUGAGACAAUGAGCUACAUACUCAAAGUGGAGGUCCAAAUCGAAAGAUUGCCUAGACGUGAAAUAACUGAUUGGACCUCCGCAUACAUUUAGCUAUAUUGAUUUACUUUACACAUAUUCUAUAAAUGCCUAGUAAAAUAAAUAGAGAUAACUAGAUCUCGAUCUGUGCAACCGCACAGAUUUUUAUUUUUAUUUAUUUUUAUAUAAAUAUUUUAUUUUCAAUUCUAAAUUGGUAUAUAUUAUAAUAUAUAUGUGUUUAUCAAUUUUUAAAACAUAAUAAGUUUACUGUAUAUUUUUUUAUUGAAUAAAUUGUUUCAAAC